UCCCUAUAAAUUCACGUGCCUGCGGCUGAC
This 30-nucleotide non-coding RNA is filed under the name Rattus norvegicus (Norway rat). The record is from RNAcentral. Lineage: Eukaryota; Metazoa; Chordata; Mammalia; Rodentia; Muridae.